RNAcentral lists this ribosomal RNA (600 nucleotides) under uncultured archaeon. RNAcentral's name for it is "bacterial SSU rRNA". It matches the Rfam family "Archaeal small subunit ribosomal RNA", at positions 236 to 838 of the family's 1478-position model. The record is from RNAcentral.
GUGAGGUAAUGGCCCACCAAGGCUAUAACAGGUACGGGCUCUGAGAGGAGAAGCCCGGAGAUGGGUACUGAGACACGGACCCAGGCCCUAUGGGGCGCAGCAGGCGAGAAACCUUAGCAAUGUGCGAAAGCACGACUAGGUUAAUCCGAGUGAUUUCUGUUGAAGAAAUCUUUUGUCAGUCGUAAAACCACAGACGAAUAAGGGGUGGGCAAGUCUGGUGUCAGCCGCCGCGGUAAUACCAGCACCUCGAGUGGUCAGGAGGUUUAUUGGGCCUAAAGCAUCCGUAGCCGGCUUUGCAAGUCUCCGGUUAAAUCCAGCUGCUCAACAGAUGGGCUGCCGGAGAUACUACAAAGCUAGGGAGCGGGAGAGGCAGACGGUAUUCUGUGGGUAGGGGUAAAAUCCUUUGAUCCAUAGAGGACCACCAGUGGCGAAGGCGGUCUGCCAGAACGCGUUCGACGGUGAGGGAUGAAAGCUGGGGGAGCAAACCGGAUUAGAUACCCGGGUAGUCCCAGCUGUAAACGAUGCAAACUCGGUGAUGCAUUGGCUUAUGGCCAAUGCAGUGCCGCAGGGAAGCCGUUAAGUUUGCCGCCUGGGAAAUAC